UGAGCUAGCGAAGCGGCAAUGUUAGUUUAGAUAGCCUAAUAUGGCACACAAUGCAGAGGAAGACUCCAGCCUUCAUCCCCACGACCACCAGAGGGCUGAAGAAGACCCCCUAGCAACAGCCGGCGCAACCGCAGAAGUUACAGGAGGUGCCCUGUAUACCCAGAACUGGAAUCUCAUAUAAGGAGACUGUGAGGGGGGGGUUGCAUGCACCGUUGGUGGAGCAGGAGACUCCCCCCCGGCCGCCCAGUGCUGUUUUGCUUACUUGUGACUUGCUCAAUUAUUUUAUAAAUUGGAAUUGAUGCAACCCGGCCCAAGUGGUGGUCAAUUUGUCACGUUUACCUAUAACAGCACUGUCCUAGCAGGCACUGAGCUACCACUGACCUCACAACCACAAAGAGCAGCCAUGGGCCUAGCACUGGCCUAUCAGGCACUGAGACACAAGUGACUCUCAACCACAAACAUCAGCCAUGCACCUAGCACUGGCCUAUCAGGCACUGAGCCAGAAGUGACCUCACAACCACAAACAUCAGCCAUGGGCCUAGCACUGGUCCAUCAGGGACUGAGCCACAAGUGACCUCACAGUUGAAAACAGCAGCCAUGGGCCUAGCACUGGCCUAUCAGGCACCCCCCCUCCCUCUCUUCCCCAGCUCUGGACCUGGUGAUGGCUGUUCUGUACGCAGUGAUGCCUCAAACACUGAACCCCCUUAUCCACAGCAUGAGGAACAAGGAGCUCAAAGGCGCACUGAAGAAACUGGUUCAAUGGGUACGAUGUCAGAGCCAAUAACUAUCCCAUGUCCAUUCACAGCAAUUCUGACAGCAAGGCUCUGUGUUAUUCAUUUCUUUUCUUUUCUUUUUUUUUUCCCCUCUGGUACAUUCUUGUAAAAAGAAAAAGAAGUUUUGGUUCAUACCGCUUAUCCUCAGGAAUCUCUUAUUUGAAUCUGACCCAGAGACCAUGUUGAACCAGGAAUCCAGGCUUCCCCCUUCAUCAGCAGAGAUGAAGGAACCUCAGAGUCUAUUAGUCUGAGCUCCCUGGAUGCCCCCAGUGCAAUGAGGAGAGUUUCCCUUUGCAGUGUCUCUUUUGGUGCUGUCACCAAGGGAGCUCAGGGGCAGAGAGUCAGGCUCAGACA
RNAcentral lists this long non-coding RNA (1127 nucleotides) under Apteryx haastii (Great spotted kiwi). RNAcentral describes it as "lncRNA (ENSAHAG00000013196.1)". Lineage: Eukaryota; Metazoa; Chordata; Aves; Apterygiformes; Apterygidae. The record is from RNAcentral.